Molecule: ribosomal RNA, 492 nt
Filed under: uncultured bacterium
Lineage: Bacteria
Description: partial 16S ribosomal RNA
Rfam family: Bacterial small subunit ribosomal RNA
Source: RNAcentral
GAUGAACGCUAGCUACAGGCUUAACACAUGCAAGUCGAGGGGAAACGGCAUUGAGUGCUUGCACUCUUUGGACGUCGACCGGCGCACGGGUGAGUAACGCGUAUUCAACCUUCCCAUUACUGUGGGAUAACCUGCCGAAAGGCAGACUAAUACCGCAUAGUCUUCGAUGACGGCAUCAGAUUUGAAGUAAAGUUUUAUCGGUAAUGGAUGGGGAUGCGUCUGAUUAGCUUGUUGGCGGGGUAACGGCCCACCAAGGCUACGAUCAGUAGGGGUUCUGAGAGGAAGGUCCCCCACAUGGGAACUGAGACACGGUCCAAACUCCUACGGGAGGGAGCAGUGAGGAAUAUUAGUCAAUGGACGGAAGUCUGAACCAGCCAAGUAGCGUGCAGGAUGACGGCCCUAUGGGCUGUAAACUGCCUUUGUAUGGGGAUAAAGUUAGGGACGGGGCCCUAUUUGCAGGUACCAUACGAAUAAGGACCGGCUAAUUCCGUG